AGAGUUGAUCCUGGCUUAGAACGAACGCUGGCGGCGCGUCUUAAGCAUGCAAGUCGAACGGCAAGGAUGGUAGCUUGCUACCAUCCCUAGAGUGGCGGACUGGUGAGUAACACGUGGGUGAUCUACCCUUGAGAUGGGGAUAGCCAUUAGAAAUAGUGGAUAAUACCGAAUACGCUCUACGGACUCUGGUUUGUAGAGGAAACAGGCUACGGCCUGGCUCGAGGAUGGGCCCGCGUCCCAUUAGCUAGUUGGUGAGGUAAGAGCCCACCAAGGCGACGAUGGGUAUCCGGCCUGAGAGGGUGUACGGACACAUUGGGACUGAGAUACGGCCCAAACUCCUACGGGAGGCAGCAGCUAAGAAUAUUCCGCAAUGGACGAAAGUCUGACGGAGCGACGCCGCGUGGAAUGACGAAGGCCGAAGGGUUGUAAAAUCCUUUUGCUGAUGAAGAAUAAGCGUGGUAGGGAAUGACCGCGUGAUGACAUUAGUCGGUGAAUAAGCCCCGGCUAACUACGUGCCAGCCGCCGC
Molecule: ribosomal RNA, 526 nt
Filed under: uncultured bacterium
Lineage: Bacteria
Description: bacterial SSU rRNA
Rfam family: Bacterial small subunit ribosomal RNA
Source: RNAcentral